UACGUAGGGCGCAAGCGUUGUCCGGAAUUAUUGGGCGUAAAGAGCUCGUAGGCGGUUUGUCGCGUCUGCUGUGAAAGACCGGGGCUCAACUCCGGUUCUGCAGUGGGUACGGGCAGACUAGAGUGAUGUAGGGGAGACUGGAAUUCCUGGUGUAGCGGUGAAAUGCGCAGAUAUCAGGAGGAACACCGAUGGCGAAGGCGGCUCUCUGGGACGGUACUGACGCUGAGACGCGAAAGCGUGGGGAGCGAACAGG
RNAcentral lists this ribosomal RNA (253 nucleotides) under uncultured bacterium. RNAcentral's name for it is "partial 16S ribosomal RNA". It matches the Rfam family "Bacterial small subunit ribosomal RNA", at positions 524 to 776 of the family's 1533-position model. The record is from RNAcentral.